RNAcentral lists this ribosomal RNA (253 nucleotides) under uncultured bacterium. RNAcentral's name for it is "partial 16S ribosomal RNA". It matches the Rfam family "Bacterial small subunit ribosomal RNA", at positions 524 to 776 of the family's 1533-position model. The record is from RNAcentral.
CACGUAGGGCGCGAGCGUUGUCCGGAAUUAUUGGGCGUAAAGAGCUCGUAGGCGGCCUGUUGCGUCCGCUGUGAAAGCCCGGGGCUUAACCCCGGGUCUGCAGUGGAUACGGGCAGGCUAGAGGUAGGUAGGGGAGAAUGGAAUUCCCGGUGUAGCGGUGAAAUGCGCAGAUAUCGGGAGGAACACCGGUGGCGAAGGCGGUUCUCUGGGCCUUACCUGACGCUGAGGAGCGAAAGCGUGGGGAGCGGACAGG